AGCUCGUGUCGUGAGAUGUUCGGUUAAGUCCGCUAACGAGCGCAACCCUCGUCGUAUGUUAUAUGUGUCAUACGAGACUGCCGGUAAAGCCGGAGGAACGGUGAGGAGUGAUGUCAAGUCAGCAUGACCUUUAUAUCCAGGGCUACACACACGCUACAAUGGUCUGUACAAUGGGUAGCCAAGCCGCGAGGCGGAGCCGAAUCCUGAAAGCAAGGCCUCAGUUCAGAUUGCAGUCUGCAACUCGACUGCAUGAAGCCGGAGUUGCUAGUAACCGCAGGUCAGCAAUACUGCGGUGAAUACGUUCCCGGGUCUU
RNAcentral lists this ribosomal RNA (313 nucleotides) under uncultured Anaerolineaceae bacterium. RNAcentral describes it as "bacterial SSU rRNA". It matches the Rfam family "Bacterial small subunit ribosomal RNA", at positions 1057 to 1382 of the family's 1533-position model. The record is from RNAcentral. Lineage: Bacteria; Bacillati; Chloroflexota; Anaerolineae; Anaerolineales; Anaerolineaceae.